Molecule: non-coding RNA, 12687 nt
Organism: Podarcis lilfordi (Lilford's wall lizard)
Lineage: Eukaryota; Metazoa; Chordata; Lepidosauria; Squamata; Lacertidae
Source: the annotation of a GenBank genome assembly
UGUGGGAGGCAGUGGAAGACAGGAGUGCCUGGCGUGCUCUGGCCCAUCGGGUCACGAAGAGUCGGACACAACUAAAAGACUAAACAACAACAACAAAGGCCAUUCAAGGCUGGAUUCUGCUGUGUGGCAGGCAGGCAUUCAACGGGUGAGCCUUUCCCCCCAUUCAUCCCCCCUCCAAGGGAAAUUUCCCCUUCUGGAUUCCUGCCUGUUGCAAAGCUGUUAAAACUUUUAUAUUUUCAACCGCAGUUGCAACUUUACGGGUUGAAAACCCCCCCAAUAUCUGCAUGCAAUACAGGCAGGCAGAAAUCCAACAGGACAUUGUUUCCUCUCUUUCCUCUUGCCCUGGUUUUGCAAUCCUUUGACCAUUCGUUGACCUCGGCUUUGGAGACAUCCCACCCAAGAUCUGUAGGCAGAGUGGGGUCGCUUUGGGUCAGGCUUCUGCUAACAGGGCCUUCUUCAAAAUUAUAUCGCCUGCCAGAAUGUAUCAAAGUGGCAGGAGGGCACCCUUGACCCCGAGAGCCUGGGAGGGGGGUGGGUGGGGGGAGAGAGAAAGAAGGCUUUUUUAAAAAAAGAAAAAAACCCACAACCUUAUUUUUGAAUGACAUUAGUGUUUGCUCUGCCGCCUGGGGUGAAGAUGGGAGGUCACCGAAGGGUUAAUACGGUGCGUCCUGGUAAAUGUUCAUUCAGGACUUAAACAACCUUCAGGAAGGGAAGUGGGUCAAGCUGUCCCCCCUCCUCUCCCAUCCCACAUUUUAUUUUAUUUUGGACGGGAGGGAAGUGGGUCGAGGACAGGACCAUUAUGGCAAAAUGGCGAGUUUCUCAAAGUUGUUGUGGAAUUUUUCGGGGGGGGGGGGGCGCAUAAGAAUACAAUAGGACGAGCUGGCUGGAUCAGGCCACUAGCCCAUCGAGUCGUCAUCAUCAUCAUCAAACCUUUUAUUGGCAUCACAUACAAACAUCCAAAACAAAUCAAUUACCACUUCCCCAGUGGCCCAAAACAUUUGCUAAAACAAUGGAGGCAGAGCAGUCUAUCGUCAUACCAGCCCAUCUAGUCCAGUAUUCCAUUCUCAGGGUGGCCAACCAUUAUGGGAAACUCUCAAGCAAAAUUCUAGCGCAAGAGUUAUUCUCCCUUCCUGUGGCUUCCAGAAAUUGGUAUUCAGAAGUAUUCCUGCCUUCGACCAGAGAAGCAGAGAUAGCCAUCAGGACUAGUAGCCACCAAUAGCCCUCUUCACCUCCAUGAAUUUGUCCAAAUCUCAUUUAAAGAGACCCAAUUUGGUGGCCAUCCCCACCUCUUGUGGCAGUGAGUUCCACAGUUUAACUAUGUACUCACUGCCUGCAGAAGGACUUUUCUGCGCCCUGAAUCUUCCAGCAUUCGGCUUCAUGGGGAAACGAUGGGAGCCCCUUCACUUCCCAGAGAUCUCAGGAUCCUUUCCAACUCUGCACGUCUAUAAUUCUAGGUUCCAGCUUGUCAACAUCCAUCUUCAACUGAGACGCCCAGAACUGGACACAAUAUUCCAGGUGGAGGUCUGACCAAGGCAAGAUAAGAGUCGUACUAUCCCUUCCCUUGACUGGGACACUAGACUUCUGUUGAUGCAGCCUAGAAUAGUGUUAGCUUUUUUUUGCUGUUGCGUCACACUGUUGACUGCAAGUGAAAAUUAAGAAACAAGCUUUCAGGCUGAUUUGGCAACGUCCCUUGCAAGGACUUCCCAGUGAUUCUGCACUUGUUGCAAACUCCAUCCUGCACCAUCCACUUGGUCUGGCCCUCAGCUGGUUCUUCGUCACCCUUCCCCUCCCUUCCCCCGCUUCUCGCACUCAUCCAGCAAAGCCAAUUGGAUCUGACAAGACGCCUGAGCCUCCCGGUUUAAUCGUGGGUUAUGUUUCCCUCCAGUGACCACGCUGGCAAAGAUUAGCUGAGGGGCUCAGGAAAAAAACAACCCAAACACCUCUCCGUUCGUCCAGGGGCUCUUUAUUAAAGAGGCGUCGUCGUGGGAGAGGAAUUCGCCAGUAGGAACAGACAAAUCCAUCAGUUUUGGGUUCUCUCAGCUCCUCCUCUUCCAGUUCGGCUCUCCACAUCAGCUUUCAAUUCCUUCUUGACAAAAUGCUUGCAAAGGUUCGUCGGGGUACUUUAGCGUGAAUUUCCUUCUGUUUAUUUAUUGCAUUUACAAUGUAGCCUAAAGCUACAGGUUUUUAUUAUUUAUAUAGUUAAUAAUAAUAAUAAUAAUAAUAAUAAUAAUAAUUUAUUUGUACCCCGCCCAUCUGGCUGGAUUUCCCCAGCCACUCUGGGCGGCUUCCAUAGAAACCAAAAAUACACUAAAAUAUCACAGAUUAAAAACUUCCCUGAACAGGGCUGCCUUAAGAUGUCUUCUGAAUGUCAGGUAGUUAUUUAUCGCUUUGACAUCUGAUGGGAGGGCGUUCCACAGGGCGGGCGCCACUACCGAGAAGGCCCUCUGUCUGGUUCCCUGUAGCUUUGCUUCUCGCAAUGAGGGAACCGCCAGAAGGCCCUCGGCGCUGGACCUCAGCGUCCGGGCAGAACAAUGGGGGUGAAGACGCUCCUUCAGGUAUACUGGGCCGAGGCCGUUUAGGGCUUUAAAGGUCAACACCAGCACUUUGAAUUGUGCUCGGAAACGUACUGGGAGCCAAUGUAGGUCUUUCAAGACCGGUGUUAUGUGGUCUCGGUGGCCGCCCCCAGUCACCAGUCUAUAUAUAUAUUGAAUAUAAAAUAUUCAAUAUUUUUUCAAUAUUCAAUAUAUUCAAUAUUCAAUAUAUAUUCAAUAAUUUUUAAUUUUUAUUGUAAAUUUUAUUUACAACAUAACACAAACCCCCCACCCCCAGCACAGAAAUCCACCCCCAUCAGACGCGAACAUAACAAGCAACAAGCAUAAUAUACAACAAUACAAACAACCAAAUAAAAGACUUCCUUUAUCCUGUUUCUGGCAUCCUUAUUUACUUCUUAUAAGCUGUUUCCUUUAUGAAUAAUUAUUAAGAUUUUUCUAAUUAUAACUUAAAUAUCCACAAAGUCUCCUGCAGACAUUAAUCGAAACAAGUCCAGGUAUGUAUUUUAGGGCACUGUUUUGUGAAGUAUUCUCUGCAUUUCCCCCAUGCUUUUUGAAAUUCUUGUCAAGUGUGAUCUCUAAUUGCCUCUGUUAAUCUAGCCAGUUCAAAAUUGUGUGAACAAAUAUGGAAUGGCAAGACAAACUGUUAGAGUAUAUUUAUAUAGUAAUAUAUUCAGUGCCUUUUUUGGUGUGUGUGUGGGGGGUGGGGUACGCAGGGGUACGCAUACCCCUAAACAUUUUACGGUCUUCAAACAAAAACAUCUUGGAGGUCCCAGGCCACAGGGAGGUUAGGCUGGCCUCAACCAGAGCCAGGGCCUUUUCGGCUGUGGCCCCGAUCUGGUGGAACGCUCUGUCCCAAGAGACUAGGGCCCUGCAGGACUUGACAUCUUUCCACCAGGACUUUGGCCAAGGCACAGUCUGACCCCCUCUCUCCUUCUGUAAUCCUCACAGAACUCUAGCCCAAUGGUUGCCAUUAAUUUGAUUCUGAAUUGAUUUUAGAACGCUGUGUUACUUUUAUUGUUGUUAGCCGCUCUGAGCCCAGCUUUGCCUGGGGAGGGCGGGAUAUAAAUAAACUUUUAUUAUUAUACAGUGGUACCUCGGGUUAAGUACUUAAUUUGUUCCGGAGGUCCGUUCUUAACCUGAAACUGUUUUUAACCUGAAGCACCACUUUAGCUAAUGGGGCCUCCUGCCGCCGCCGCCGCACGAUUUCUGUUCUCAUCCUGAAGCAAAGUUCUUAACCCGAGGUACUAUUUCUGGAUUAGCGGAGUCUGUAACCUGAAGUGUAUGUAACCUGAAGCGUAUGUAACCCGAGGUACCCCUGUAUUAUUAUCUGUGAAUUUUUGUACUUUUGUCCAUUUACUGUAUUUAUUUUCCCGAUUUGAACUAUAAAAUGGUGAUUUUCUUGAGUCAAAAAACCCCUAAACAUUUUUAGGAAAAAAGCACUGUAUACAUUUAUGUGAAGCACUGCACACACACACACAAACACACACACUCGUGUGUCUCUGGUCUGAAAUGAGUUUUAACAGCUGGGCCGCUGCAUCUGGUAAAAGGGGGCUUACCACAGUCCGCCUGCGUAGUUCCUGCAGUGGUCAAAUGCCCCAAAGAACCUAGGUACCCAGAUAGACUGCCGCUGGAGCUGGAGCUGGAUGUCCAUAAGGACAUCGGAAGAGCCUGGCUGCAGGAUCAGGCCCGAGCGGCCCCAUCCACCACAGCCUCUUGUUCUCACAGUGGCCAACCAGGUGCCCCAAUCCUGCAACCAGGACCCGAGUUCAAAAGCCGCACCCAUGCGGCUUUCCAGCAACUGAUCUAUAUUCCUCAGCGGAGGGAGAACAUUUUUGCUCCCAUGAUGCAUUCCAGGCUUUUUUCUUAAGGCUUUGAGGUUGCAGUACCCAGAUUUCAGACGCCUGAGUCCUUCUGGAUGUGGCUGCAGGGUUGGUGUGUGUGUGUGUUGUUGUCCCGCUUUACUAUCAACUUGAUUCUUGAACUUUCUCGCAGGCCGUAUCAGCCCCAAAGAGCACACUCCGGCAGGGUUUCGGAGCCCUGUGGGCAACGCCCCCAAACAACUUGGUGCUUUUCAGCUCGCUGCCUGUCUACCGCCUCCCCUUUGGCCACAUGACCCCCUUCCUCCCCCCCCCUCCUCUGCAAAAUAACUUUUCCUUGUUUUUCGAUUUCCAAACAAGACAUCCCCUUGUCCCGUCCUGCUCGCCUCUGUUCCCCAGCAAAGGUCGCAACCUCUUUUGCCCUCUGCGUGACACGUUCGGUCACGCCUUUGCAGCAUUCCAGAAAACUGACAUUCCGGAUUCCCCAGAGAGAAGCCGAGAGAGAGAGAGAGAGGGGGGGGGUGUCUCUCCCUCCAACCCCUAACUAGGCAAGCCUCCUUCACCAUCACAUUGGCAAAUGCAAUAUUCAGAGAGAGAAAUCAACCCCAAAUUAGGAGCGUUUUUUUCUUCUAGGCCUUGUUUUUUAGGGGGAAGAUUUAGUGGUGAUUUUUUUAUUAAUUGCAAACUUUAUUGAAUUUAAACAACAACAGUGGCCAAGCAUAAAGCGUUGUCUUCCAGAUGCAAAGUCUUUUAUGUAGUCAUCCACAUGGCAUUGAAACACACUAAGGAAAUCUCUGAUAUUGCAGAUUAAGUCCACACCCAAAGGAUACGCUUCAAUCUCUAGAGCGUUAAAAUAAUUUCUCCUUAUUGGCUGCUGCGACUGAGAAGGAAGGGAGAUUACAGUGGUACCUCGGGUUACAGACGCUUCAGGUUACAGACGCUUCAGGUUACAGACGCUUCAGGAUACAGACUCUGCUAACCCAGAAAUAGUACCUCAGGUUAAGAACUUUGCUUCAGGAUGAGAACAAACCCAUCUUCCUUUGUUUUUCCUCUGAUCACCGUCCGAUGGUGAGUUAAGUGCCUCCAUAAGUACUAUAUUCCACUUAUAUCUAGAGCAUUAAGAUAAUUUCUUUUUAGCGGCUGCUGUGACUGAGAAAGAAGGGAGAUUACUGUGCUAUGGCUAAUAAACUGAUAUAAAUUGAGAAAUGGAGAUUUGAAAUUGACCGGGUGCCCAGGAAACGGAGCGUGGAAAUAAAGGCACCAGGACAGUGGUCUAAGAAGGUAUUGGCGUAGUGGUUGGUUUCAGUUCUCAUUUUUCCACUUUUCUGUUCAGUUGUCUGCAUUCCCACCACAAUUUGCAGUUAUUAUUAAAGUCUCUGUGAAAAUCCAUCAGUAUUUGGGUACCACUUUCCUCUAACAUACAAAGGUUUAUAUUGAUCUUAUUUCUAUUUACAUUAUUUCUAAGCUGCUCUUCCGUGAAAGUUUUCAACCUCAGAGGAGGGAACAAAGCAAUAACAAACAAACAGAGAUAGAAACAAUAAGCAAAAAUGACAAAAUCAUUAUAAACAGGACCGAUAAACAACUAAGAAGCAAAAUCCCAAUGCGACUUAAUAUUUCCAAUUUAACAAAGUUCCAAGUACAUGCAAUUUUGCUUAUUUUUGACAUUUCUGAAAAGCAAAUUUUUGAAAAGCAAAUUUCCCCUAAUAUACAGUAACUGCAUUUUUAUGAAAGCUUCCAUCGAGUGCAUUUUCCAGGCCACAGUCACACCCUGCAUUCAAUGAACCAUGCUGCCACUUUAAACAGUCACGGCUUCCCCCAAAGUCUCCUGGGAGCUGUAGUUUCUUCAGGGUGCAGAGAGUUAUUUUGGAGAUCCCUAUUCCUUUCACAGGACGCGGGUGGCGCUGUGGGUAAAACCUCAGCGUCUAGGACUUGCCAAUCGAAAGGUCGGCGGUUCGAAUCCCCGUGGCGCGGUGAGCUCCCGUUGCUCGGUCCCUGCUCCUGCCAACCUAGCAGUUCGAAAACACCCCCGGGUGCAAGUAGAUAAAUAGGGACCGCUUACUAGCGGGAAGGUAAACGGCGUUCCGUGUGCUGUGCUGGCUCGCCAGAUGCAGCUUGUCACGCUGGCCACGUGACCCGGAAGUGUCUGCGGACAGCGCUGGCUCCCGGCCUCUAGAGUGAGAUGAGCGCACAACCCUAGAGUCUGUUAAGACUGGCCCGUACGAGCAGGGGUACCUUUACCUUUACCUAUUCCUUUCACAGACCUAUAAUUCUGAGAGGGCUUUAGCAAGCAAUCCCUUUCCACAGGGAGCUCUGGGAAUUGUAGUUCUGGGGAGCAAGGGAUAGAGGGGGUCUCCUAACAAAUCUCAGAAGUCUUGAACUACAGUUCCCAGAAUCCUUUGGGGGGAAGAAGCAAGGGCCGUUUAAAAUAGUAUCACAGCGCUUUGAAUGGAUGGUGUUAAGGCGGCCAAAGUUUCUACCUCUGGGGAGUGCUGGGAAGAUGGGAAAGAUUUGAAUUCGAAGGACCGAUUGCCUCAGUGUGAGACAGCUUUGCAUUUAGUUCAGCCCAUAAGGACUAGAAGCUUAGAUUUUUUUUAGUGGAAUGGCUUGUAUCAGCCCUCCUGCAUGGCUGUUGCUCGUUGGCUUGGAGGUAGCAGUCAAACCGAGCAAGGUAGAAGUCCCAUGAUUCAGAGGCUGGGGCAAACGGCGGUAGAGGCACAAGUGAAGCCAUGGUUCCAAUGCUGGCGUGGAGGGCGAUGGAUGGAACACAGUGCUCUAGCCAGAACGGUCAGCUCUGAAUUGGUUCUGUUCAGUGGUUUUGCUCGGUGUUUCAGUUCAGUGAUUCAGCUCAGCUCAGCUCAGAGAGUGGGCGCAUCUGGCUGUGCUCUGAUGUCCAUCGAUCCCAUCCUCAUCACCAGUGUUAAGUUGUGGGUGAACAUAUCAGACGACAUAGCGAUUCUUCAAACAGCUCUUGUUUAUUCACAGGCCAGAACAGAACUGAACUGAAGGGCUCAGCCAGCCUGCUUAUAUAGAGCUCCAGUACAACGUAACUGUAACAACUUUCUGUAACUAUCCAAUCACUGAACGUCACUUUCGAUCCCUUAUUUGCAUAUGUGGACCUGAACUGUCUACAGUAUCCCCCUGCUGGCCCAGGGUGAGAACUUCAGGACAUAACAGAAUGGAUGGUGUUAAUGCGGCCAGAGUUUUCACCUCUGGGAGUGCUGGGAAGAUGGGAAAGAUUUGAACUCGAAGGACCGAUUGCCUUAGUGUGAGACAGCUUUGCAUUUAGUUCAGCCCAUGAGGACCAGAAGCUUAGAUUUUUUUUUAGUGGGAUGGCUUGUAUCAGCCCUCCUGCGUGGCUGUUGGCAGAUCACCACCAACAAACAAACACACACACACACACAGAGAGAGAGAGAGAGAGAGAGAGAGAGCUGUACCCCUCUAAGGGGAGCUGGCUUUGGAGAAAUCGCUUUCCCAAGCUCUGAUUGAUGACCAUGCCACCUGUCCGUGGAAAUCUCUGCUCAGCCGACAUUUUAAAACAGCCCCGCGCUUGCCUCUGACCUCACCUGUUCCGGGUGGUCUUUCGAGGGUCACCGAGGGCGUACCUAGAGGCGAAGAGGUCAGAGGGAGCCGUUUCUGGAAAGACGCCUUUUUCUCUUGCUCCCCACAACCUCCCAGCCUCUUCCAAGACAGCUGAGGAGCUCCUCGUUUUAAAAAUAUCAUGUAAGGGCCUGCCAAAUAUUUCCCCCUCUCUCGGAGAGUGGAAAUCAAGGAAAUCUUAAUUUGUCUGUGUGGCUGGGGGCGUCAUUGCAGAUUUGAGACACAUUAAGGACAUUUUUAACCAAGGCUGGUCUGGCAUAGAACUUGGUUUCUGGGCCAGUUUUUCAGGGCGACAGGUACCUCUGAGCAUGCGCAGAGUGCUCCUCCGCUAGUUAUUUACUUAGCUGGUAAAAAUGCUUGAUAUGAGUCCCCUGAGCAAUUCGCAACUCCAAAACCUUCAUUAAAAACUGAUAAAAGAGAGUUUAAAUAUAAACAAAACCUGCAAUUUUAAGAUAAUGAUGCAGAAUUACCGUAUUUUUCGCUCUAUAGGACGCACUGUUCCCCCUCCAAAAAUUAAGGGGAAAUGUGUGUGCGUCCUAUGGAGCGAAUGCAGGCUCCUUGGCUUCAGUGAUAGCAACGCAAAGCCUGCAAAGCGCAGAGGAACCACUCCUUCCGCGCUCCGGAGGCUACGCGUUGCUUUCGCUGAAGCCUGGAGAGCGAGAAGGGUCGGGGCGCACCGACCCCUCUCGCUCUCCAGGCUUCAGGGAUAGCCGCCUGAAGCCUUUGGAGCGCAGCGGGAACUCGUGCUGCGCUCCGAAGGCUUCGGGUUCCUUUUGCUGAAGCCGGGAGAGCAAGACUCUCCCGGCUUCAGCAGAGAGGGAGAGCUGUGCAGCGCCCCUUCAGCCAAGCGGGAGGAGAAAUGGAAGGGGCUCCGUUUCUCCUGCUGCUUCACUGAAGGGGCGCUGAGCAGAGAGAGGGAGGAUUUUUUUGUUUUGUUCUCCCCCUCUAAAACAAGAUGUGUCCUAUGGUCGGGUGUGUCCUAUAGAGUGAAAAAUACGGUAAAUGGCAAGUUAAACGUGUGUGUGAUUGACAGCUUCUAGACCAGGGAUGAUGCACACACACACAUUUCAGGACCGGGAGGUAAAUGUGGCCCUCCAGACCUCCCUAUCAGGCCCUUGAAGCUCUUCUCAGGCCACACCCACUCCCCUAGACCACGCCUCCUCUCCCCAAGCCACUCCUCAAGCCAGCCCCUCUUGAGUGUUUUGGUGCAUGCUUGGUAAAAUGUAAAGGUUGCCAUGUGCCCAUAAUUUCACAGAUAUAGCUGGUGGAAAUCGCUGAGAUGUCUGGAGAAAUCUAGACGCGUGUAGAUUUUGGUGAAUUUCCUUGAAACCAGCUCAAACAGCUUUGCCAAAAACAAAACAAAACUCAACGAGCUUGGUUUUCACUUUCUGAAAUAUGGCAACCCUAUGAUAAAUGAGAUUUGUACAUUGUCCUUCAUCCAAAGGUCGCAGGGCAGUUGGCAACAUAAAAAUACAAAAUUCAUAAUGAAAGGAAAGCAAACCCAUAAUUCACGCCCCCCAUGAACACAGUUUAAAACACCAUAGAUUUUUUUAAUCGGCCAAAGUCCUGGGAGAAGAGGAAUGUUUUUACCUGCCCCCUAAAGAUAUUCAAAGAGCAUCGCACCAGCAGGGAGCCACUGCAGAGAAGGCCCUGUCCUCGCGUUGCCUUCCUCCGCACCUCUUGCUUACCUGGGUGGAGAACAGAGAGGGGCGUAUUUCAUCUUCUGUACACAAGGCAAACUUCACAACCUCGCACACUUUUCCUUUGUCCCCCCCCACCACUCGCCCCCCAAGCUGCCCAGAAGGGAAUGAGGUCUGCUGCCCCAGCGGCCGCUGUUCUAGCCAAUGAAAGCUGCCUUUCAACUUCGCAACAGGUGUGAUUUGCCCUAACCCUAACCUUUAAAGCCCUAAACGGCCUCGGUCCAGUAGACCUGAAGGAGCGUCUCCGCCCCCAUCGUUCUGCCCGGACACUGAGGUCCAGCGCCGAGGGCCUCCUGGCGGUUCCCUCAUUGCAAGAAGCAAAGCUACAGGGAACCAGGCAGAGGGCCUUCUCGGUAGUGGCGCCCGCCCUGUGGAACUCCCUCCCAUCAGAUGUCAAAGCGAUAAAUAACUACCUGACAUUCAGAAGACAUCUUAAGGCAGCCCUGCUCAGGGAAGUUUUUAAUCUGUGAUAUUUUAGUGUAUUUUUGGUUUCUAUGGAAGCCGCCCAGAGUGGCUGGGGAAACCCAGCCAGAUGGGCGGGGUACAAAUAAUAAAUUAUUACAGCGGUACCUCGGGUUAAGAACUUAAAUCAUUCUGGAGGUCCGUUCUUAACCUAAAACUGUUCUUAACCUGAAGCACCACUUUAGCUAAUGGGGCCCUCCGCUGCCGCCACCAGAGCACGAUUUCUGUUCUCAUCCUCAAGCAAAGUUCUUAACCCGAGGUACUAUUUCUGGGUUAGCGGAGUCUGUAACCUGAAGCGUAUGUAACCUGAAGUGUAUGUAACCCGAGGUACCACUGUAUUAUUAUUGCUGAAGAAAACCCACUGCACGGCCCUGUUCUCCGAUGAGGACUAGAAUCUUGAUGCUUUCUGGCUAAACUCUCUGGCUCCUUCCCAACUGGUGGCCUCCCUCCUUGUGCGCCGGAGACGACAGCUGCGCCGAAGAAUGUGCUUUGCACAGUUCCCCGUCUUUUUCUCAGGGUCUCAAAUCCCAAUUGGGCUAACCUCCUGAGACCUCUCCUUGCGGAAGGCAGGCAGCCAGCCAGCAAGGGGUUAAGAGUAGGAUGUUCCCCAACAAUACUAUUGGGGGGGUGCAAGGAGGCGGCAGCAGUGGCGUUGGGGGGGUGUGAGACCUCCCUCCCUCCAGACUCUUCUUGGGCCUCCAGACUCGAAAAAACAAGAACACAAGGUCAACGCAGGAACUUAUUAAUCUGCCUGCAUGACGCCAGGCCUGGCCAUAAUUUUACGCGGAUAAUUAACUCCUUCCCGGACGAGGAAACGGGAGGGUCGCGUGUCACCCGGACCCGGCUCUUUCGCGCGGACGUGGCCGCGGCUGGACGGAGCCGCUUUCUCGCCUUCACUUCCUGGAUUCCCAGGCCACAGGCGGUGGCCCCCCUGUUGCUCCGACUCCAUCUGGGACACGGGAAUCGUAGGGUUCCCCCAAAGGUCAUCUAGUUCAACCCCUGGCUGAAAUAGAGGAAUCACAAGCUAAAUAAGUCCUGGUAGCGCUGUGGAUUAAACCACGGAGCCUAGGACUUGCCGAUCAGAAGGUUGGUGGUUCGAAUCCCCGCGACUGGGUGAGCUCCUGUUGCUCAGUCCCAGCUCCUGCCAACCUAGCAGUUCGAAAGCACAUCAAAGUGCAAGUAGAUAAAUAGGUACCACUCUGGUGGGAAGGUAAACGGCGUUUCCAUGUGCUGCUCUGGUUCGCCAGAAGCAGCUUUGUCAUGCUGGCCACAUGACCUGGAAGCUGUACGCUGGCUCCCUUGGCCAAUAAGUCGAGAUGAGUGCUGCAACCCCAGAGUCGGCCACGACUGGACCUAAUGGUCAGGGGUCCCUUUACCCUUUACCUUUAGAUGGUCACUCAGCUGCUCCUUUAAAAACUCCAGUGGCGGAGAGUUCCAAGUUCAGAGAAUCUUGGAACCAGAAUCUAGGCCAGCCCCUUGCAAUGCAGGAACCACAGUUAAGAAUCCCAGGCUCCUGGGGUAUUUUUUUGGUGUGUGUUUGUUCCUUAACUUUCUUCCAGGGGUUCCAGGCACAAAACAGAGGGAGCUUCCCCUCUGCUCCAUCGCUGCGAGUCUGCUAUGAGAAAAGGUUGCAGCAGCUGGAGAUUUUUAGGUUAGAGAAAAGGCGCCACGACAUAAAACGAUGCAAGGCGUCUUCCUCUCUCUCUCCUAACUCCAAUGAAGCUGAAUGCUGGAAGAGCUCUGAUUGCGGCAAAAUGGAAGAGUAAUGAAAUCCCCUCUAUACAAGAUUGGAUCCAAAAGCUGACAGAAUAUGCCGAAUUAGACGGUCUAUCAGAAAAAAAUAAAGAAUAAAUCAAAACAGGAAUUUGUUUCAAAAUGGGAGGUUUUCAAAGAAUAUUUGAAAAAUAAAUAUUGUAGUUUAAAUUCUGUUGCAGCAUUCGAGGAACUUCAGUAAUAGUUGCAAGGUAGAUAUAAGAAAUUAGAUAUGUUAAGGAAAAGUUUUAUUAUGUUAAAAUUGUGUGUUGGCAAUAAGUAAUAUGAAACCGAAAUAUGGAAUAGAUGGGAGGUUGUGUCUUUAGUGUUAAGACCAAUAUUUGUUUUAUUGUUUGUUAAGAAAAUUAUGUGUCUAUGGUUAUUCCUGUGUGUAAUUUGGUAUUUGUGGUUUUUUCUUUUUUCUUGCUGUAUCAAAAAAACAAAACAAAACAAAAACAAGACAAAAAAGAAGCUGAAUGCUGGGAGACUCAGGACAAAGACAAGAAACUCUGUCGUCAUGCGGUGCAUUGUUAACCUGUGGAACUCCCUCCCACAUGAGGCAGCCAUGGCCAAGUGGCUUUAAAAGAGGAUUGGACAAGUUCAUGGAGGAGGAGGAGAGGGCUAUUGGCUGUGCUCUGCCCUAUACAUUUGGGGGCAGCAAUGCUUUGGAAUGAUGUAUGGAAGUGAGAGCUGGACCAUAAAGAAGGCUGAUCGCUGAAGAAUUGAUGCUUUUGAAUUCUGGUGCCGGAGGAGACUCUUGAGAGUCCCAUGGACUGCAAGAAGAACAAACCUAUCCAUUCUGAAGGA